CUUUUCUACCCUGCAUCGUUACGUGGGGAUCGCAUCCACACCUUGGGACAGCUACUAGUGUCCUAUGUCAGACCACACGUUCCCGUUUCGACUACCCCACUCGUCAGAUGGGUACGAUGGAUCCUAUCACUGGCGGGUGUGGACGCAAAUUUUGGAGCACACUCAGUGCGCGGGACGGCGGGCUCUUUGGCGGAUAUCCUUCGUUCAGCGGACUGGUCGAGGGAAUCUACCUUUCGGACAGUCUACUUCCGCCCGAAUUCAGGUGCCGCUAUGUCUCUUCUGCAUCAGCGUUAAAAAAUGCAAAAUAGGAAGCCUCCUGUCGUGGUAAAAUUGAAGAUUAUGCUAGCGUUAGUGUACUUUUAAUCUUAAUUUUAGUAAUGACAGGCAAGUAUUUUCCCACCCUUGGGAAGAGUGGAUUCACGUAAGUAUAUAUUUAUCUCUCCGUUGGCUUAUCUUAUAUUUAUACCGUUUCUCUUCAUGGUUUGGGGAUUUGUUCUGUUUCUGUUCAGUAUACAUUAACCAGAGCGACGCCUACUGCUAUAUAAUGUUGGGUCGUUACUGCAACAAAUUUAAAGACCGGUGCCUAACCCAUUUCACGUUCUCUUUUCAGUAUAAAUCCGUGAUGUUAACAGUUCGUUCUCAGGAUGGACACAGUUGGAUCAGCCUUUAUCUCCUGAGGUUUCGUUAAUCGGACAAGUCACCUGUUUGGUGCAUGUUUCAGGAUAUUCUGGAUCAGUCUUCAUUCCGUGAAGUUCCGUUUCUGUGGGAACCACCUGUUGGUGCAUGUUACAAGAUGUUUUGACUUUAUGUUUUUAUGUUUUUUUAUUGAGUUUCCUGAUGUCGCUUUUGAUAGAGGGGGAGGAGCCUCUUCACUGUGAAUACUAUACAUCCUAUUGCAGUUUGGUUAUUGUUUUCACUUUUCUUUACUGCUGUGUGGAGUUAGUAAAGAGCAUAAUAUGCAAAA
Molecule: non-coding RNA, 964 nt
Organism: Pelobates cultripes (western spadefoot toad)
Lineage: Eukaryota; Metazoa; Chordata; Amphibia; Anura; Pelobatidae
Source: the annotation of a GenBank genome assembly